GAUGAACGCUGGCGGCAUGCCUAUACAUGCAAGUCGAACGGACGAGAAGAGAAAAGCUUGCUUUUUUGGAAGUCAGUGGCGAACGGGUGAGUAACACGUAGGUAACCUGCCCAUGUGCCCGGGAUAAUUUCUGGAAACGGAAACUAAAACCGGAUAGGUAGGGAUCUCGCAUGAGGACCUUAUUAAAGGGGCUACGGCCCUGAACAUGGAUGGACCUGCGGUGCAUUAGCUAGUUGGUGGGAUAACGGCCUACCAAGGCGACGAUGCAUAGCCGACCUGAGAGGGCGAACGGCCACAUUGGGACUGAGACACGGCCCAA
RNAcentral lists this ribosomal RNA (319 nucleotides) under uncultured bacterium. Its description in RNAcentral is "bacterial SSU rRNA". It matches the Rfam family "Bacterial small subunit ribosomal RNA", at positions 28 to 334 of the family's 1533-position model. The record is from RNAcentral.